AAAAAUACAUGCAUGUGUAUGUGAGUGUGUGUGUGUGUGCAUGACAUAACUGGAUGUCAUGUUAGCAGGCAGUCCAUGGUUCAAGGAGUAAUUAUAACUUUCAAGCCUUAUUAUUUAGGCUUACUAUUUACAUUGUGUAAGCCUAUAUAUAGCUGCCAUAGAUAGUGAUUCCUCUGAUGGAUGUGGGCAAAGUAAACUAAAAACCUUCUGGAAAUAAUUCACCAUUCUAGAUGCCAUCAAGAACAUUUGUGAUUCACAGGAGAUCAAAGUAACAUUAUCAGGAGUUUGGAAGAAGUUGGUUCCAA
RNAcentral lists this long non-coding RNA (305 nucleotides) under Homo sapiens (human). RNAcentral's name for it is "HSALNT0239429". Lineage: Eukaryota; Metazoa; Chordata; Mammalia; Primates; Hominidae. The record is from RNAcentral.